RNAcentral lists this long non-coding RNA (228 nucleotides) under Elaeis guineensis (African oil palm). Its description in RNAcentral is "long non-coding RNA (EGUI_LNC011870)". The record is from RNAcentral. Lineage: Eukaryota; Viridiplantae; Streptophyta; Magnoliopsida; Arecales; Arecaceae.
GGGGAGUGGAUGUAGGUGCAAGGUUAGCACCGAACCACUAUAAAUCCUUGUGUUUAUGGUGUGCUUUAUCGCUUUAUCUUAUUUCUUUAUUAUAUCCUUGCAAUCCUGCUUUAGGUAAUUAAUAUUGAAUUAAAGUCUUUGUUUUGAUCUUCAUAAGUAAUCUGUUGGGCUUAAAAUUUUUUAGAAAUCCAAUUCACCCCCCCUCUUGGGUUGCAUAGCUGGGCAACA